GACGAACGCUGGCGGCGUGCUUAACACAUGCAAGUCGAGCGGUAAGGCCCUUCGGGGUACACGAGCGGCGAACGGGUGAGUAACACGUGGGUGACCUGCCUUUAGCUCUGGGAUAAGCCUGGGAAACUGGGUCUAAUACCGGAUAUGACCUCAUGACGCAUGUUGUGGGGUGGAAAGCCUUGUGCGGCUAGAGGUGGGCCCGCGGCCUAUCAGCUUGUUGGUGGGGUGAUGGCCUACCAAGGCGACGACGGGUAGCCGGCCUGAGAGGGCGACCGGCCACACUGGGACUGAGACACGGCCCAGACUCCUACGGGAGGCAGCAGUGGGGAAUCUUGCGCAAUGGGCGAAAGCCUGACGCAGCGACGCCGCGUGAGGGAUGACGGCCUGGUGUAAC
RNAcentral lists this ribosomal RNA (394 nucleotides) under uncultured bacterium. RNAcentral describes it as "bacterial SSU rRNA". It matches the Rfam family "Bacterial small subunit ribosomal RNA", at positions 28 to 429 of the family's 1533-position model. The record is from RNAcentral.